Cynoglossus semilaevis (tongue sole) is the source of this 280-nucleotide long non-coding RNA. RefSeq lists it as uncharacterized. The transcript is spliced from 2 exons. NCBI's taxonomy places the organism in Eukaryota, Metazoa, Chordata, Actinopteri, Pleuronectiformes, Cynoglossidae. The record is from RefSeq and is a predicted model, not a curated record.
UAGCCGACCUGUGAUGCAGCCUAGCCGGCCCGUAAAUCUGGCUCCCCAGAUGCCCCAGCAGCCUAGCCGGCCUGUGAUGCAACCAUCUAGCUGGCUUAAUUCUGCGUAUUAUCAUCAAGGGGAAGUACCUGGACAUGUUGCUGCACUGCAGAUGCAAGGCUAAUGUUUGAAAUGCAUAAUACAAAUAAAAAAAAAUGAAAUGAUCCCGUUUGUGUUCUAUUGCCAGUAGCCUGUACCUCAACCUAAAAGCUUUAAACUGACUGUAGCAACAUUGAGGGCA